UGGGGGAUAUUGCACAAUGGGCGAAAGCCUGAUGCAGCGACGCCGCGUGGGGGAUGAAGGCCUUCGGGUUGUAAACUUCUUUUGCUCUGAACAAGGCGCACCAUGGGGUGUGUUGAGUGUAGGGGUUGAUUAGCGCCGGCUAACUACGUGCCAGCAGCCGCGGUAAUACGUAGGGCGCGAGCGUUGUCCGGAAUUAUUGGGCGUAAAGGGCUUGUAGGUGGCUGGUUGCGUCUGUCGUGAAAGCUCAUGGCUUAACUGUGGGUUUGCGGUGGGUACGGGCUGGCUUGAGUGCAGUAGGGGAGGCUGGAAUUCCUGGUGUAGCGGUGGAAUGCGCAGAUAUCAGGAGGAAUACCGGUGGCGAAGGCGGGUCUCUGGGCUGUUACUGACGCUGAGGAGCGAAAGCAUGGGGAGCGAACAGG
RNAcentral lists this ribosomal RNA (419 nucleotides) under bacterium. Its description in RNAcentral is "partial 16S ribosomal RNA". It matches the Rfam family "Bacterial small subunit ribosomal RNA", at positions 355 to 776 of the family's 1533-position model. The record is from RNAcentral.